Molecule: long non-coding RNA, 756 nt
Filed under: Homo sapiens (human)
Lineage: Eukaryota; Metazoa; Chordata; Mammalia; Primates; Hominidae
Description: non-protein coding lnc-FILIP1-2:1
Source: RNAcentral
CUCUGUGAGCUACCAAAACCAAAAUGUUCUUUCCCUUAGCACCCCAGCUUCACUAGUCUAUCUACUUCUAUGUACCUUUCAGCAAGAUGAUAGCAUAGUCAGUUCAGUUCGUUAGUCAGGCAGCAGUUUAGUGCUACAGGUGUUGCUGGAAACUCCUUAACUUUCUAUGGAAUGAAAAAGUCUAGCAAUGAUACCUAUUCCAAAGCAGUGCAGUUGGCGCUACCUUUACACAGAAUACACAAUCUCUUAAAAAUACACUUAUCUCAAGCUGAAGCACACAAACUUCUAAAGCCAGAAAUUAAACCGAGAAAUGACUGCAUGAGAUAAGUAGUUCCAAAUGUUCCUUAUGCUUUAAAGUGAGAGGAUCAUCAAAGUGUCAGGGAAUUCAGUAUUCUGUGAGACAGACCAAUGAAAUUUGAGAAACACUUUAACUUUGAAAGUGCAAACACGUAAUUCAGGAAGAUGCACAGUUUCAUUAAAAGCUUAAAUUAACAGAGACUCAAGAAAUAAGUGAAGCCUGUAAAUGGUGAAAGCAAAAGAGACUGAGGAGCUGAUACCCAAACUUGUGAAGGAGAAGCUGAUGAACAGCUUCAGACUUAACUGCUAUUAUGAUUUACUAAAUCAUUCUUUUAUAUCUCCUGUGGUUAAAAAAUGAAAACCAACCUGGGCUGAAAACAGAAGACUGAAUGCCAAAAUGUUUGGAAUCCCACUUCAUUCAAAUAGUGACCACUGGGGUUAUGAAGAAAGAGAAGUUAU